AGAGUUUGAUCCUGGCUCAGGACGAACGCUGGCGGCGUGCUUAACACAUGCAAGUCGAGCGGAGACAAUAUUGCGGAAGUUUUCGGAUGGAAGCGAUAAUGUUUUAGCGGCGGACGGGUGAGUAACGCGUGAGCAACCUUUCUCUCAGUGGGGAAUAACACAGGGAAACUUGUACUAAUACCGCAUGAGACCACGGUAAGGCAUCUUACAGGGGUCAAAGAUUUAUCGCUGAGAGGUGGGCUCGCGUCCGAUUAGGUAGUUGGUGGGGUAACGGCCCACCAAGGCUGCGAUCGGUAGGGGUUCUGAGAGGAAGGCCCCCCACAAUGGGACUGAGACACGGCCCAUACUCCUACGGGAGGCAGCAGUGAGGAAUAUUGGUCAAUGGGCGGAAGCCUGAACCAGCCAUGCCGCGUGCGGGAAGGAGGCCCUAUGGGCUGUGAACCGCUUUUGCCUGGGGGCAAUAAGGGCGUCGCGCACGUCCGAUGAGAGUACCAGGCGAAUAAGCAUCGGCUAACUCCGUGCCAGCAGCCGCGGUAAUACGGGGGAUGCGAGCGUUAUCCGGAUUCAUUGGGUUUAAAGGGUGCGUAGGCUGUGCGUCAAGUCGGGGGUGAAAUUCCGGUGCUCAACACCGGGGCUGCCCUUGAUACUGUCGCGCUGGAGUGCGGAUGCCGCCGGAGGAAUGAGUGGUGUAGCGGUGAAAUGCUUAGAUAUCACUCAGAACACCGAUUGCGAAGGCAUCUGGCGAAUCCGUAACUGACGCUGAGGCACGAAAGCGUGGGGAUAGAACAGGAUUAGAUACCCUGGUAUUCCACGCCGUAAACGAUGAUGGCUAACCGCCGGCGACAGACUGUCGGUGGCCAAGCGAAAGCGAUAAGCCAUCCACCUGGGGAGUACGUCGGCAACGAUGAAACUCAAAGGAAUUGACGGGGGCCCGCACAAGCGGAGGAACAUGUGGUUUAAUUCGAUGAUACGCGAGGAACCUUACCCGGGCUCGAACGGCACCUGGAUCGCCCAGAGAUGGGCGAGUCUUCGGACAGGUGUCGAGGUGCUGCAUGGUUGUCGUCAGCUCGUGCCGUGAGGUGUCGGCUCAAGUGCCAUAACGAGCGCAACCCUUGCCGCCAGUUGCCAUCAGGUGAUGCUGGGCACUCUGGCGGGACUGCCACCGCAAGGUGUGAGGAGGGGGGGGAUGACGUCAAAUCAGCACGGCCCUUACGUCCGGGGCGACACACGUGUUACAAUGGCGGCCACAGAGGGAUGCUACCCCGCGAGGGGAUGCGGAUCUCGAAAAGCCGUCCCAGUUCGGACUGGAGUCUGCAACCCGACUCCACGAAGUUGGAUUCGCUAGUAAUCGCGCAUCAGCCAUGGCGCGGUGAAUACGUUCCCGGGCCUUGUACACACCGCCCGUCAAG
This 1409-nucleotide ribosomal RNA is filed under the name uncultured bacterium. RNAcentral describes it as "bacterial SSU rRNA". It matches the Rfam family "Bacterial small subunit ribosomal RNA". The record is from RNAcentral.